UGGGGAAUUUUGGACAAUGGGCGCAAGCCUGAUCCAGCCAUACCGCGUGAGUGAAGAAGGCCUUCGGGUUGUAAAGCUCUUUCAGACGGAAAGAAACGGUUACGGCUAAUACCCGUGACUAAUGACGGUACCGUAAGAAGAAGCACCGGCUAACUACGUGCCAGCAGCCGCGGUAAUACGUAGGGUGCGAGCGUUAAUCGGAAUUACUGGGCGUAAAGCGUGCGCAGGCGGUUUGGUAAGACAGAUGUGAAAUCCCCGGGCUUAACCUGGGAACUGCAUUUGUGACUGCCAGACUAGAGUGUAGCAGAGGGGGGUAGAAUUCCACGUGUAGCAGUGAAAUGCGUAGAUAUGUGGAGGAAUACCGAUGGCGAAGGCAGCCCCCUGGGCUAACACUGACGUUGAGGCACGAAAGCGUGGGGAGCAAACAGGAUUAGAUACCCAAGUAGUCCCUGAGCGGGCUGGCAAGGCGCAU
Molecule: ribosomal RNA, 472 nt
Filed under: uncultured bacterium
Lineage: Bacteria
Description: bacterial SSU rRNA
Rfam family: Bacterial small subunit ribosomal RNA
Source: RNAcentral